GAUGAACGCUGGCGGCGUGCUUAACACAUGCAAGUCGAACGAGAAGUGAAGACGGAAACCUUCGGGCGGAAGGCUUUAUUUCGAGUGGCGGACGGGUGAGUAACGCGUGGGUAACCUGCCUCAUACAGGGGGAUAACAGUUGGAAACGACUGUUAAUACCGCAUAAGACCACAGCACCGCAUGGUGCGGGGGUAAAAACUCCGGUGGUAUGAGAUGGACCCGCGUUCGAUUAGCCAGUUGGCGGGGUAACGGCCCACCAAAGCGACGAUCGAUAGCCGAUCUGAGAGGCUGACCGGCCACAUUGGGACUGAGACACGGCCCAAACUCCUACGGGAGGCAGCAGUGGGGAAUAUUGCACAAUGGGGGAAACCCUGAUGCAGCGACGCCGCGUGAGUGAAGAAGUAUUUCGGUAUGUAAAGCUCUAUCAGCAGGGAAGAAAAUGACGGUACCUGAGUAAGAAGCCCCGGCUAACUACGUG
RNAcentral lists this ribosomal RNA (478 nucleotides) under uncultured bacterium. RNAcentral describes it as "partial 16S ribosomal RNA". It matches the Rfam family "Bacterial small subunit ribosomal RNA", at positions 28 to 507 of the family's 1533-position model. The record is from RNAcentral.